Molecule: long non-coding RNA, 4123 nt
Filed under: Rattus norvegicus (Norway rat)
Lineage: Eukaryota; Metazoa; Chordata; Mammalia; Rodentia; Muridae
Description: long non-coding RNA NONRATT023246
Source: RNAcentral
GUGAAUGAGGUGGAUCUUUUCCCGGGCUCCUCAGCUUUGUCCCAAGCUCUUAAAGGUGCCAGGCCACAUUGUUCUACAAUGGCACCAUCAAACUCUAAAUGUCUACUGUGUAGGUCAGAAUACCGCCCUUCACCAAGCACUUGAUCUUUAACAAUAUUCAGUCCCCAUUCUCUACUUCAUUGUUCAAUAUUCCAGGCCUCCUCUCUUUACCAUGUUAACCAUUGUACCUGCUGACCAGCCUCCAGCACAGCACCAAUCCCCUUGGUUACUUAAUCUUUCUUUUACAUAAAGGGAAUGGGUUCCAUAGGAAACAGAGACUUUAAAAUGCCUCAGAGCUAUCAUGUCUGUAGGAUACCAUGUUAUCGGAUAAUCAUGGCCGACACCAUUAGCAAGCGUGUGCUUUGCAGUCACUGGGAACACUUGAUGGCAAUUUUGUAAUCCUCUGACCACACAGUUGGUUUAAGAUUAACCCUUUCUCUCCUUACGGCUGUCCCAGCUUUUCCUGCAUGCACCCCCAUUCCCCACCCCCUGGCUGUGGAGACUUGAAAGCAAAAGGGGGCAGUACUGGGUGUGAUUGCCUUCAAGCCCUCAUUCAUUCUGCUGGAAGCUCCUGCUCUCAGUCACUGCUUUGAGCCCUUUUGUUCUCCCUUUUCAGGCACUUUCCAAGAGCUUCCACCACAGCCAAUUCUGCAACCCUUUUCAAAAACAAAUAGAGGGACCCUGAUUUUCCCAUUUCAUCCAUUUUUUUGUUUCUCCAGCUCCUCUAUCUACUUACAGCCUCUCUAGUUGCCCAGCUAUUCAUCCAACUUGUUUUUGAGACAGAAUAUAGGGACAGCAACAAGAAGAAAUAGAAAAUUCCCUCUGGAAACAAAGCAGCAGCCACAAUGAACUUCUUGAUGUCCUGAAACUCACUGUCCAUUCCUCCAUACCCUCCUGACUCCUCCCUCCCUCCCUCUACAGCAUUAGAAACCAAGUUUCCCAUUCUGCCUAGCUCCUUGUCUGGGCACCACUUGUAGGCAGACUUUUUGGCCACUUUAUACAUGCAUGUGCAUAUCUGUGUGCGAAUUUGUAUGUGUGUGUGUCCAUGUGUAAACAGGACCUCAGCUCAAUGAAGCACCACGAAGCAAAAGUAGCUUCUGUAAAACUGAUCAGAAAUCUUCUAUAGCAUCUUGGAUUGUAUAGAUAUAUUAAAGGUUAGUUUCAAGUUACCAUUUACUGUCAACUUCAAACUGAAUGGUUACAAGGGGGAGCUAAAAACCUGUGUACACCCAUUUACUCCUAUUUUUUCUGUGAGACGAGGUGCAGGCCUGGAAGUGUAAAUUCCGUGUUAUGUAUAUCCUGCCUAAAUCCCAUACUCUCUAUUUAGAAGUGAUGUACCAGCCUCUUUGCUGCCAGGAUUAGAUAUUAAAACCGUGAGUCUACUGACCCUUCUUCCUGAGAUCUGGCUGUUUUCCUUUGGGCUCUGAGAUGAGCCUAGGUUGGAAAGUGGUGACUUAGAUGUGUUUUAUAGAGACCCUGUGUCCAAACUGUGGCUUUUAGGAUGACAACUGUUUAACCAGUGUUCAGGCAGCAAGGCUCUUACAGGAAAGGUCUUCUGACUAAUCUUGGCCUUGAUAUGAGCUCACUAUGCUCUCGCAGGACUUCUGCAUUUCUCCAUUUCCCUCUGUUAGGUGACUGUUUGGGAACCUCGGGCCUGUAGGGUUUAGAGAAAAAUACGUUUGUUUAGGUGGUGUCCGAGGUUUUAACCUUGUCUACAAGAAAAUGCUUCCCGUACUCCAGUCCUAACCUUUCAGUACCUUCUGAGGGUCCCCACAGCCUUUCUGAGAGUAUCGCAGUGGGACUUGGCCCUUUUCACGGUGAAAAUUGCUUAUGGCAACAUAUUUCCAAAUUUUUGUUCCUGCAAAGAGUAACUAGUAUUUAUUUUCUAUUUAUUUUAUCAGUUUCUAGUGUUCAUUUAACUCAGUAAGGUCUGGGAAAAACUAAGAUCUGAACACAACAGCCUUCUCGGUAGCUUAAAAACACUUGGAGAAUUGUAGGUGAAGAAGUCUUCUUACCAGUGUCACAAAAGCUUGGUCCAAUGGGCUUCUGUAAUUAGAUUAUGUUUGUUUUAGAGAAGGAGACAAAUUUAUGGAAAACAUAGCUUAUGCAACAGCCAGCUAGCAAUGAAAUUGAGUGGAGUAGAGAUUUCUCCCUCAGCCUGCCUUCUGCUCCUUCUCCGUGUUCCUCAUAGCUCAGCCACUUUUGUCAUAAAUAAGAAAAAUGGAAAGUUCCCUAUAGCAGUUGUUUGCAGAGUUAAUAGAGUUGUAAGAGAAACGCUACCGUAGGAGGGGAAUACCAUGGUCAAUUAAAGUUGAGGAAUGCUAAGUUACUUCCUUUCCAUGGGGUGUCUGAGUUUUAUUAUGCCGUGACACAUUUUGAUCUUAGGAAGGGACAGACUGUUGCACCUAAUAUUGUUCUCCUAUCCCUCCCCCCCUUUCUCUGAGCAUCUCUACCAGUCUUUGGUCAAGUUUACAGGUCUUUGAGAAGACGAUUGCCAGCGAAAACGCUGGCAGUGAGUUUGUUACGGUGGUGCAGUGGCUUUGGUACCAAGCCCUGGCAGUGGUGUGAUACCAGGAAAACUGCACAUCAGCUGCCCAGAGAGUCGUGUCUGUGUCUGAUCUGCACGCUACCCCAGAGUCUGUAGAUGCAAAUGUAUUGGUGAUGUUGACACUGCAUGGUAGCACUGCUUUGUACGGCACUUUAUCUUCCUUUAGGUACCUUUGGGGACAGCCCUGUGAGCCAGACAGUAUUAUAGCGACUGCACAGAGGACGCACGUCCUAGAAGCCCUGAAAAGCUUGUCUCGAUUCCUUCUCUUUCCCCUUCUUCUGCCCUCCUCCCUCCAGAGUUUACAUCUUAAAAGGAUAGAGCCAGAAUUUGGCUACGAGUCUCUGACUCCAAGUCCAAAGGUCUUCAUACUGGUCUUUCCUUCCAGCUUUAUGUAUACAACGAAGGAUAUGGAAACCUCUCCACACUGUUUUUGCUUAUUGUGCAAACCAGCUCUGUGUUGGAGUGACCCAGAAGUGUGACUCUUAUUACUCUGUCCCUGCAGUGCCCCUUGUUCAGGUGCUUGACUGUGCUCCAGCUACUGUUUGAUUGUAAAGCUAAGAUAGAACAUACCAUUGUAAUCAUUUAACCCGGAAAAUAGAUCACCUCAGCAUUCUCAGGUGAAGAAGUGAGAUGGUUUGAAAGGAAACUAAUGUUCAGAUGCAACAAUAAAUAUUUAUUACACACAUGCCAUUUCUUAGCUUUAAUUUGCUUUCACAACUUACUGAUGUAACAUCUUUGUAAAAUGUAAAAUAUUUAUAUUUUGAAAUAAAGUUACAAAUGUUGGAUGAAACAGGUGGUAACUUAGUCUCUUCUUGAGAAAUUUGAACCUUAUCCAGACUUUCCAUGCAUAUCCUACCUUUGGUGCCAAUAUCUGAACUGGCACCAGUAUUUUUAUGAAAUUUGGUCAUCUUACAUGAGGGAAGCUGUCUGAAGAGUUUACACCCUGAAGAGGCCAGAGGGUCUGUAGCUGAGGCAGAAGUCCUCAGUGGGUUGGGAGGCAGCCUUGUGGAUAAAAGUGUGAGGGAGGUUUAAGGUAAAUGUUGGGAGACAGGGGGCCUGGAGAAAUGGCUUUGCAGUUCAGGGUGCAUACCCAAGUUCAAUACCUAACACCUAUCUUGGAUGGCUGGUAACCCCCUAACUUGGCUUUAGGGGAAUCUGAUACCUCUGCUGAAUUCAGGAGCUGCUCUUUUGUAAGAACAGCCUAAGCUUUGCCAUCUCUGUUACCAGAGAGAGCCGUGUUGCAUUGCCAGGGGAAGCUGAGUCACGCUGCAAGCUGAACCCAGAGAAAGCCAAUCUGGGAUUCCUUUUUGCCCCAUACAUGCUCAUAGCAGCUAUGGUCCUUCAAAAAUGCUUUCUUGCACUGGUUAGUCAGUUGCUUGAAUCCUUAGGUCAGUCUAGAACCCUUCCUAAGAUGCAGGCUUCUGAAAGGCCUUCCUUGGCUUUGUUCCUGGAAACUGUAGGAAAAGGAGCUUUGGCACCACAGGGAUUCUGUGUGAGCUCAUGGUUGGACCAAGAGAAUGGAUUCUUAGCCUUAAG